AUGGACGCCUACGAGGCCACCAAGGUGGUGUUCGCACGGGUCCAGGGGCUCGUCGACGCGGACCUCGCCUCCAAGAUCAUGGGCAUGCUGCUCACCCAGGACAAGAGCGAGGAGGAUAUGAUCCGCCUCGCCUUCGGCCCCGAGCACCUCCUCCAGUCCGUCGUCGCCGACCUCGCGGCCUGCAGCAAACCCCCCUCCCCGCCCGCGCCGGCAUGGAGGAUGGCGCCGGGUGCGGCUGGAGGAGAUGCUGAAGGCGGCCUCCCGUUCGGCGCCGCAUCCGAAGCGUUCUACCCCGAGGAGGAGUACGGCUGCUGGUCUCCGGCGAGCGGCACUCAUCACCGCCGGAGCUUCUCGCUGAGCGACGCCGAGGGCGGGUGGAAGCCGUGCCAGUACUUCGCCCGGGGGUUCUGCAAGAACGGCUCCGGCUGCCGCUUCCUGCACGGGCUGCCCGAGGACGUCGCCGAGCAGGAGAUGGCGGUCAUGCGCGCCAAGGCCCUCGCCGCCGCGCGGUCGCAGAUGAUGGCGCCCGCCUUCCCCUUCUCGCCAUCGCCGCCCAAAGGCCUCAGCUUCCUCCUACAGCAGCAGAGCGAGUCCCAAAGGGCGGCGGACAUGCUGUUCGCCGGAGGCGAUGACAUGCACAGGUUCUCCCACCGGUCGCCUCGCAUGGACCGCGGCGACCUCGCCAUCAACCACGGCGCGCGCCAGAUCUACCUCACCUUCCCCGCCGACUCCACCUUCACCGAAGAGGACGUGUCAAGCUACUUCAGCAUGUACGGGCCGGUACAGGACGUGCGCAUCCCGCACCAGCCGAAGCGCAUGUUCGGCUUCGUCUCCUUCGUCUACCCGGAGACGGUGCGGCUCGUCCUCGCCAAGGGCAACCCACACUUCGUCUGCGACGCGCGCGUCCUCGUCAAGCCUUACAAGGAGAAGGGCAAGGUCCCCGACAGGUUCAGGCAUGGCGGCGGCGGCGGCCACUGCCUCUCUCCUCACCACCGCGAGUUCGCCUCCGUGGGCAGCGCGCUGCCGCCUGCCGGUCUGCUCGACUCCAGGGACCCCUUCGACCUCCAGCAGCCGCAAAUCGGGCAGAGAAUGCUGUACGGGAGCAUGGCCGGCCACGAGGCGGCGUUUCUGAGGAGGAGGCUGGAGGAGCAGCAGGAGGCGGCGGAGCUGCAGCAUGCCAUCGAGCUGCAAGGCCGCCGGCUCAUGGGGCUGCAGUUUCUUGACCUCAAGAACAGGGGCCACCACCUCCUCGGCUCCCCCGUGGGCUCACCUUCCGACGGCAAUGGCGGCUGCUUCAGUGGGAACGGCAAUGGCGUCCAUCUUGAUGACGCCAUUAGCACCAUCCAAGAUAACAGCAAUCUGAGCAGUGGUCUUUUCAUGGGUCCAUAUGCUGCUGCUUCUGUGAUUUCUAAAGAAGGGAAGCAGGAGUGUCAGGAGGAGGGUGGUGAUGGCAAUGGCAAUGGCGAUGGCAGUCCCAAGCAGGCAGUCAACUCUGGGGAAGAGGGGAGGAGGGAAUCUGGUCCUGGGGCAGCAGCUGCAUCCAAUGUUGUUUGUGAAUACCAAGAAAGUGGCAUGGAGCACACCCACCACCUGCCUGGUAGCCCCUUUGCUUCCCCCACCAAGGAGGCCUCCAUUGCUGCUGCUGAGCAGCUGACAGCUCACACUGGUGCCAUGGGCAACAGUAGCAGCCCCCACCUGGUGGCCUCUUCUCUUUUCCCGCCUACAAAACCUCUCUACAGCUCCUGCUUCUCUCAAGUGCCUAGAUUGUCGUCUGGGCAGGGAGCAAUUGGGCUGUGA
This 1797-nucleotide ribosomal RNA is filed under the name Triticum aestivum (bread wheat). RNAcentral describes it as "partial small subunit ribosomal RNA". Lineage: Eukaryota; Viridiplantae; Streptophyta; Magnoliopsida; Poales; Poaceae. The record is from RNAcentral.